RNAcentral lists this ribosomal RNA (1530 nucleotides) under Escherichia coli HVH 159 (4-5818141). RNAcentral's name for it is "bacterial SSU rRNA". It matches the Rfam family "Bacterial small subunit ribosomal RNA". The record is from RNAcentral. Lineage: Bacteria; Pseudomonadati; Pseudomonadota; Gammaproteobacteria; Enterobacterales; Enterobacteriaceae.
AGAGUUUGAUCAUGGCUCAGAUUGAACGCUGGCGGCAGGCCUAACACAUGCAAGUCGAACGGUAACAGGAAUCAGCUUGCUGCUUUGCUGACGAGUGGCGGACGGGUGAGUAAUGUCUGGGAAACUGCCUGAUGGAGGGGGAUAACUACUGGAAACGGUAGCUAAUACCGCAUAACGUCGCAAGACCAAAGAGGGGGACCUUCGGGCCUCUUGCCAUCGGAUGUGCCCAGAUGGGAUUAGCUAGUAGGUGGGGUAAAGGCUCACCUAGGCGACGAUCCCUAGCUGGUCUGAGAGGAUGACCAGCCACACUGGAACUGAGACACGGUCCAGACUCCUACGGGAGGCAGCAGUGGGGAAUAUUGCACAAUGGGCGCAAGCCUGAUGCAGCCAUGCCGCGUGUAUGAAGAAGGCCUUCGGGUUGUAAAGUACUUUCAGCGGGGAGGAAGGGAGUAAAGUUAAUACCUUUGCUCAUUGACGUUACCCGCAGAAGAAGCACCGGCUAACUCCGUGCCAGCAGCCGCGGUAAUACGGAGGGUGCAAGCGUUAAUCGGAAUUACUGGGCGUAAAGCGCACGCAGGCGGUUUGUUAAGUCAGAUGUGAAAUCCCCGGGCUCAACCUGGGAACUGCAUCUGAUACUGGCAAGCUUGAGUCUCGUAGAGGGGGGUAGAAUUCCAGGUGUAGCGGUGAAAUGCGUAGAGAUCUGGAGGAAUACCGGUGGCGAAGGCGGCCCCCUGGACGAAGACUGACGCUCAGGUGCGAAAGCGUGGGGAGCAAACAGGAUUAGAUACCCUGGUAGUCCACGCCGUAAACGAUGUCGACUUGGAGGUUGUGCCCUUGAGGCGUGGCUUCCGGAGCUAACGCGUUAAGUCGACCGCCUGGGGAGUACGGCCGCAAGGUUAAAACUCAAAUGAAUUGACGGGGGCCCGCACAAGCGGUGGAGCAUGUGGUUUAAUUCGAUGCAACGCGAAGAACCUUACCUGGUCUUGACAUCCACGGAAGUUUUCAGAGAUGAGAAUGUGCCUUCGGGAACCGUGAGACAGGUGCUGCAUGGCUGUCGUCAGCUCGUGUUGUGAAAUGUUGGGUUAAGUCCCGCAACGAGCGCAACCCUUAUCCUUUGUUGCCAGCGGUCCGGCCGGGAACUCAAAGGAGACUGCCAGUGAUAAACUGGAGGAAGGUGGGGAUGACGUCAAGUCAUCAUGGCCCUUACGACCAGGGCUACACACGUGCUACAAUGGCGCAUACAAAGAGAAGCGACCUCGCGAGAGCAAGCGGACCUCAUAAAGUGCGUCGUAGUCCGGAUUGGAGUCUGCAACUCGACUCCAUGAAGUCGGAAUCGCUAGUAAUCGUGGAUCAGAAUGCCACGGUGAAUACGUUCCCGGGCCUUGUACACACCGCCCGUCACACCAUGGGAGUGGGUUGCAAAAGAAGUAGGUAGCUUAACCUUCGGGAGGGCGCUUACCACUUUGUGAUUCAUGACUGGGGUGAAGUCGUAACAAGGUAACCGUAGGGGAACCUGCGGUUGGAUCACCU